This 463-nucleotide ribosomal RNA is filed under the name Vreelandella stevensii. Its description in RNAcentral is "partial 16S ribosomal RNA". It matches the Rfam family "Bacterial small subunit ribosomal RNA", at positions 338 to 795 of the family's 1533-position model. The record is from RNAcentral. Lineage: Bacteria; Pseudomonadati; Pseudomonadota; Gammaproteobacteria; Oceanospirillales; Halomonadaceae.
CCUACGUGGCUGCAGUGGGGAAUAUUGGACAAUGGGCGUAAGCCUGAUCCAGCCAUGCCGCGUGUGUGAAGAAGGCCUUCGGGUUGUAAAGCACUUUCAGUGGGGAAGAAAGCCUUGGGGCUAAUACCCUCGAGGAAGGACAUCACCCACAGAAGAAGCACCGGCUAACUCCGUGCCAGCAGCCGCGGUAAUACGGAGGGUGCGAGCGUUAAUCGGAAUUACUGGGCGUAAAGCGCGCGUAGGCGGUCUGAUAAGCCGGUUGUGAAAGCCCCGGGCUCAACCUGGGAACGGCAUCCGGAACUGUCAGGCUAGAGUGCAGGAGAGGAAGGUAGAAUUCCCGGUGUAGCGGUGAAAUGCGUAGAGAUCGGGAGGAAUACCAGUGGCGAAGGCGGCCUUCUGGACUGACACUGACGCUGAGGUGCGAAAGCGUGGGUAGCAAACAGGAUUAGAUACCCCGGUAGUC